RNAcentral lists this long non-coding RNA (207 nucleotides) under Helianthus annuus (common sunflower). RNAcentral's name for it is "sRNA HanXRQr2_Chr14g0629591". The record is from RNAcentral. Lineage: Eukaryota; Viridiplantae; Streptophyta; Magnoliopsida; Asterales; Asteraceae.
GUGGCCGGAGUAUUACGUCCGAACUCGACUCGACUCACCAUGUUCGUGAAGUUCGUUCGGACCGAGUUCAACAGUCGCCUCUACCAUAACCACUGAUUCCCACGUUGUUUUGUGUGUGUUACUGGAGAAAUCCUGAUGUCGUCGGAAGAACCUAACUUCACCGGAGCCGUGGAACUCGCCGGAUUCGGAUUAACAAUUUCACUUCGU